Molecule: long non-coding RNA, 555 nt
Filed under: Physcomitrium patens
Lineage: Eukaryota; Viridiplantae; Streptophyta; Bryopsida; Funariales; Funariaceae
Description: long non-coding RNA (PPAT_LNC009072)
Source: RNAcentral
CUACCGAUAGAGAUAAGAGGAAUAUCGACGAGCAGCCAAAGGACAUUGGUGCGGAUUGUAGCACAGCCUCACAAUUUGUAAGCGGGGUUGAAGUGAAACUUUUAGGGCAUUCGAAAGGGCUUGUAGAGACACUAACGAUAGAUGUUUCACAACAAGUCGGAAGGACAGAUUGAGGAUCACAGCUUGCCAAAGUUCAUGGUCUACGAUUAAGAUAAUUAACAAUAAAGAUAAAAUAAAAAACAUAAAAUAAAUAAAAUAAAAUAAAAAUAACAAAAGAGAUUGAAGUUAUAUAUGGUCUCUAGAUAUUUUAUAUUGGAAUUAAGCUUUUACAUUGCAAUCUGAUAUAGAUUGUAUUUGGAUAGUCAAGAACCUGAUAGACUGCUUGAGUACUAGCGAAACACCAUACUACCUCCUACAGCUAGAUGCCCGAUGCAUUCUCAAGCAAGAUAGCACGUAAUACAACAUAAAGUGGUGAACCCAACGUGAAAGCUUGAGGUGGAAGGUAUUGGAUUUCGUUUGAUUUUAUUUUUAUUUUUAUGAAGAACGAAAAUAAAA